Molecule: ribosomal RNA, 254 nt
Filed under: uncultured bacterium
Lineage: Bacteria
Description: partial 16S ribosomal RNA
Rfam family: Bacterial small subunit ribosomal RNA
Source: RNAcentral
GACGUAGGGGGCGAGCGUUGUCCGGAAUCAUUGGGCGUAAAGGGCUCCUAGGCGGUUCAGUAAGUCGACUGUGAAAAUCCAAGGCUCAACCUUGGGACGCCAGUCGAUACUGCUGUGACUCGAGUCCGGUAGAGGAGUGUGGAAUUCCUGGUGUAGCGGUGAAAUGCGCAGAUAUCAGGAGGAACACCAACGGCGAAGGCAGCACUCUGGGCCGGUACUGACGCUGAAGAGCGAAAGCGUGGGUAGCAAACAGG